ACAUAGCUUUGGUUUUUGGUUUAUUUUUUGUUCUUUUAAAUGUUUUACUAAACCCAAACCAGUGGAACGGAUUGGUCGUUACUCACUAUUGCAUUGCCUAUUGACCGAAAAUCCAUCACCGCAAAAGAAAACGGAAAUUAAAAUUAUAUUUAUCGUUAAACACGAUUUUAUUCAGACAAUAUCGAAAUAAAUCAUAUCAUUUCGAGCAAUAAAUCAAUUGUUCAUGAACGUUAUUUAAUUAAUAGGUAUA
Non-coding RNA from Cinara cedri, 250 nucleotides. The record is from the annotation of a GenBank genome assembly. NCBI's taxonomy places the organism in Eukaryota, Metazoa, Arthropoda, Insecta, Hemiptera, Aphididae.